GGGCGAGUGACGAAAUCGGCAGACGUUCGAGCUUUAGGAGCUCGUGCUCGAAAGAGCGUGAGGGUUCGAGUCCCUCCUCGCCCA
RNAcentral lists this transfer RNA (84 nucleotides) under Chloroflexota bacterium. Its description in RNAcentral is "Chloroflexi bacterium tRNA-Leu". It matches the Rfam family "tRNA". From Rfam's summary of the family: Transfer RNA (tRNA) molecules are approximately 80 nucleotides in length. Their secondary structure includes four short double-helical elements and three loops (D, anti-codon, and T loops). The record is from RNAcentral. Lineage: Bacteria; Bacillati; Chloroflexota. RNAcentral also lists the same sequence under 1 other name.